UCGGCAGCGGCGUUUUCAGUCCAGAAAGAACAGGGUAGAGAAAGGGGGGCGGCCGGGAAGCGGGAGUAAAACUUCACUCCUCCGAGAAAAGAAGCAGAACUGCAAAACGUUGGGAUAAUUAAACGUAGGUGUCUUGGAGGGAGUCAAGAAUGAUGCAGUGUUAUGGUAGAGUGGCCCUGCAGUCUUUGUUCUGCAGAGAAGACUGGAGACUCAUCUUCAGGUUCUUUACAUUUCUUGCUCCGAUGCUUAUCAUUUGGAUUCUUCGGAUGGCUUUGCUGUUUAUGGAUGGAAAAGAUUGAAA
Long non-coding RNA from Egretta garzetta (little egret), 301 nucleotides. RefSeq lists it as uncharacterized. NCBI's taxonomy places the organism in Eukaryota, Metazoa, Chordata, Aves, Pelecaniformes, Ardeidae. The record is from RefSeq and is a predicted model, not a curated record. The transcript is spliced from 3 exons.